CUAUUAUCUCUAAUUUACAUAUAUCUGAUUUACUUGGUCUUCCACCCAUAUCUCCGAAAUUGAACUCCAAAAUUGUUAACUUUGAUUCCCUCCCACCGUAUUCUUGUAUGAUAAAUUCAAGUUAUACGUCUUCCCAAUCUUCUAAGUUCUCUCACCUCCUCUCUCUAUGGUGUGUGAUAUCGACCACCCAAUACAUCACCGGAAAUUGAAGAAGCUGCACCACCACCAUUGAUAACCAAAAAACCAUUUUAUCAGAGUCGUCAGCUAUCUGUAAACUCCCUUUGUUUUUUUUUUGUUACAAGCUCAUCAUGUAUAACAAACCCUAGACCGAUGUAUCUCACCACCACAUGCCACUGACUUCUCUUUUCCUCCACUUUCGUCUCUCUAAAAAAGACAAAACCACGACACUACCUAACAUGCCCAACGUCCUCACCACACUCACCAUCUCCUUUCACUCACUCGAUCGAUGCACCAAGUUUGUUUUCUGAUUUUACAAAUUUUGGUUUUUGACAUUUGUUUUCCCAAAUUCGAUUUUAAUUUGGUAAUUCGUGGUUUGUUUUCUCUCAUUAUAGAUUAUAUUCGAAUUUUAAAUUGAAAUAUGAAUAUUUUACCCUUGAUAUUCUGGUUCUGAAUUAACCCUCUUUUUAAUUGUGUUUGUAUGUUUAACAUAUGAUCUUCAUUCUUGAAAUUGAAAUCGGUGACUUGAAGAGGGUUCAUGGCAAAAAAAUCCGUUUCAAGGCUUAAAUGAAUCAAUACACGGUAUGACCCCUAAAACUAUCUAUUCUCCCUGUCACUCCAUUCGCAUUGUUUGUGGAAGAACACCUGCAAACCAUGGUUUGUCUAAUCCUAUUUUUGUCUCUCAUUCUCAAGAGAUUUUCUUUUCUGUUUCUCAACCAUGAUUUCUCUGUUAAUUUUUUUGAUUAUGACAUUUGUGUGUUUGUACAAAUGUGUAGUUUGAAGAUCCAACAUUCCAAUUUUCACGUAUAGUCCAUCUUUUUUCUCUUUGUAAAAUUGAUCUUCGAUUCUUUGCUUAUAUUCUCUUUUUUGGUAGCCUAAUUUGACAGGUUUGAAUAAUUAUUUCAUUUAUUCUCAAAGUUGAAACUUUCUUGGAAAUAUGGAGGCUACUGCAACCAAAUUAAGACACUCAUGAAAAGUAGAACAUGAAGAGAAGAAGAUUUUAUUAAGCUUCAUCAAGGGGAUGCAGACCAACAACCAUGUUGUGAUAUAAUGCUCGAGUUAGGUGUUAUGUAGAUGUGUUUCUACUAACAUUAUAAUUUUGUCAAUAAUAUUUUGAUUUUAUCAAUGAAUUUCACAUACCAGUCAAGCUAUGAAAGGGAAGUUAAGAGACAAAAAAAACUAAGUGGUAUUUGAUUAUAUUUUUUUGGAUCACAUGUAAAAGUGUCUGGAGAAUAAGUAGUAUUCGAGUAUUUUUCAUUU
Molecule: non-coding RNA, 1437 nt
Organism: Lactuca sativa (garden lettuce)
Lineage: Eukaryota; Viridiplantae; Streptophyta; Magnoliopsida; Asterales; Asteraceae
Source: RefSeq, a predicted model, not a curated record